GCUGGGCGCGGUGGUGCACACCUGUAAUCCCAGCAGUUCAGGAGGCUGAGACUGGUGGAUGGUGAAUUCAAAGCCAGCCUCAG
This 83-nucleotide small RNA is filed under the name Marmota monax (woodchuck). Lineage: Eukaryota; Metazoa; Chordata; Mammalia; Rodentia; Sciuridae. The record is from RNAcentral.